GACGAACGCUGGCGGCGUGCCUAAUACAUGCAAGUCGAGCGAAGUCUUUCUGGUGCUUGCACCGGAAAAACUUAGCGGCGAACGGGUGAGUAACACGUAAAGAACCUGCCUCAUAGACUGGGACAACUAUUGGAAACGAUAGCUAAUACCGGAUAAUAGCAUUAACUGCAUGGUUGAUGUUUAAAAGUUGGUUUUGCUAACACUAUGAGAUGGCUUUGCGGUGCAUUAGCUAGUUGGUGGGGUAAAGGCCUACCAAGGCGACGAUGCAUACCCGACCUGAGAGGGUGGUCGGACAGCCUGGGAGUGAGGCACGGCCCCGACUCCUGGGGGAAGCCGCAGUAGAGAAUCUUACGCGAUGGACGAGUGCGUAACGGUGCAACGCCGCGUGAGUGAAGAAGGAUUUCGGUCCGUAGAGCUAUGUUGUUAGGGAAGAAUGAUAGUGUAGUAACUAUACACAGUAGAGACGGUACCUAAACAGAAAGCCACGGCUAACUACGUG
This 499-nucleotide ribosomal RNA is filed under the name uncultured bacterium. RNAcentral describes it as "partial 16S ribosomal RNA". It matches the Rfam family "Bacterial small subunit ribosomal RNA", at positions 28 to 507 of the family's 1533-position model. The record is from RNAcentral.